Molecule: ribosomal RNA, 441 nt
Filed under: uncultured bacterium
Lineage: Bacteria
Description: bacterial SSU rRNA
Rfam family: Bacterial small subunit ribosomal RNA
Source: RNAcentral
UGGGGAAUCUUGCGCAAUGGCCGAAAGGCUGACGCAGCGACGCCGCGUGUGGGAGGACGCCUUUCGGGGUGUAAACCACUGUUGCCCGGGACGAACAUCCCUUUUCGAGGGGACUGACGGUACCGGGUGAGGAAGCACCGGCUAACUCCGUGCCAGCAGCCGCGGUAAUACGGAGGGUGCGAGCGUUGUCCGGAAUCAUUGGGCGUAAAGGGCGCGUAGGUGGCGGGACAAGCGUGCGGUGAAAGCCUGGGGCUCAACCCCGGGUCGGCCGUGCGAACUGUUUUGCUUGAGCACUGUAGAGGCAGGCGGAAUUCCGGGUGUAGCGGUGGAAUGCGUAGAGAUCCGGAAGAACACCGGUGGCGAAGGCGGCCUGCUGGGCAGUAGCUGACACUGAGGCGCGACAGCGUGGGGAGCAAACAGGAUUAGAUACCCCCGUAGUCC